UUGGCGGGAAGGAAGUCCAGGUGAGACAGGCCCGCGUUGGGACUAUCGUGCGCGCCCCCUCAUCUUCUGCUCCAGCCACUUCCAGCUGCCUUCCUGGAAUCCCAGAGACUGAAUCAGAGCAUUUUGGAGCUAGGCAGACCACCUGCCACAUUUUCAGCUGAGGCAGUUGGGGCCCAGAGAGGUUAAGGGCCUGCCCAAUGCCACACAGCCAGUGGGUAAGGCCUACAGUGCUCUUACCAGGACCUCAAACCUUCAUUCUGAAACACCAAAAGCUGCCAUCGGACCAGCCAUGUGCUUCUCAUUUGCAGAGUAGAGGGGAGGCUGGAUCUGCUGGCCUGGAGCAGUUCCUAGGGACUGGCCUGGCAGGCUGGAAUGCCCAAGAGGUUUUGAGGGGGCAGGAGAGAUGACCUGGAAAUGUUUAGGAUACCUAGUUUAUAGAAGAGUGCUUCUGGGACUUAGAGGCUGGAAAAGCAAGGCCCUAUUUGCAGACCUGUACUUGGGGGUUCAGCCUCGAAUGGAAACUUAUUUCCUUGACUCCAGGCAGCUGAGAGUGAGGACACAUUAGGCUGGGGAUUCUGAAAUGGGCAGAAUAAUCCUCGGGGGCAAACACUGAGUGGAAGUCAUCUUGAUGGGAGGGGAUGCCUUUCCCACGGGGCACCUGGGCAGGUCUCACCAUUCUGCAGUCACCCCCAGCAUAAAAUAUGAAGUGGAACAGCUUCCCUGCCAGAUCCCUGGGAGGCUCUGGCUCCGUUACAGCGACUCGAUGAAAAUAUCUCUGCUCAGUGCUGAGAACUUGGUCUUAGUAAUUGACUUGUAUAAUGUCCAAAGACUAUGCAUGUAACUGGCCCAAAGUGAUGCAUCAUCUUUCGCAAAAAGAUUCAUCAUGGAAUCUGCAGCAGCCUCCCAUUUGUCUGGAGCAGAAAUAGGAACAACUCCCCUUGCCAGGAGUCAUCCUUUGUCUUCAAAGCAAAUUCCUCCAUGGUUGGAAGCUUCCUGGGCCCAGGCUGAGGCCUAUGGCCAACUUCCUGGCCAAGGUCCCAGAGUCCCAGCAUGUCUAUCUCAGGAACCUCAGCCACAGGCAGCAGCUCACAGAACGUGGAGCACUGGGUUUAGGAGUCCUGAGUUCUAGGACUGACUCUGCCAUCAGCUGGCUUGUGACCUUGGACAAGUCACUGAAUACCCCCGGGCUUUUCCUUCUCCAUCUGUAAGAUGGAAUUUGUGAUUUCUGCUUGAACUAUCUCACAGGAGAAAUGGAUGAGGAAUUACCCAUCACCCACUGUGUAGAGGGGCCCCAUAGUAUCAUGGUUUAGAGCAUGGGCUUUGGGAUCCGAAGGAUCUAGGGUCAAAUCCCAGCUCUGUUGUUUGGUGAUGUCACAUUGGACGAGUUUCUUAACCUGUUGAGAAAGUGGGGACACUAACAGUAUCUACUCUGUAACG
Molecule: long non-coding RNA, 1437 nt
Filed under: Homo sapiens (human)
Lineage: Eukaryota; Metazoa; Chordata; Mammalia; Primates; Hominidae
Description: HSALNT0012339
Source: RNAcentral